GAUGAACGCUAGCUACAGGCCUAACACAUGCAAGUCGAGGGACCGGCGCACGGGUGAGUAACGCGUAUCCAACCUGCCCCACGGUGAGGGAUAACCCGCGGAAACGCGGCCUAAUACCUCAUGGUGGGAUGGGGAUGCGUCUGAUUAGCUUGUUGGCGGGGCAACGGCCCACCAAGGCUACGAUCAGUAGGGGUUCUGAGAGGAAAGCCCCCCACAUUGGAACUGAGACACGGUCCAAACUCCUACGGGAGGCAGCAGUGAGGAAUAUUGGUCAAUGGGCGAGAGCCUGAACCAGCCAAGUAGCGUGCAGGAAGACGGCCUAUGGGUUGUAAACUGCUUUUGCGCGGGGAUAGGUACCGCGCGAAUAAGGACCGGCUAAUUCCGUGCCAGCAGCCGCGGUAAUACGGAAGGUCCGGGCGUUAUCCGGAUUUAUUGGGUUUAAAGGGAGCGUAGGCCGUGAGGUAAGCGUGUUGUGAAAUGUAGGCGCCCAACGUCUGCACUGCAGCGCGAACUGCCCCACUUGAGUGCGCGCAACGCCGGCGGAACUCGUCGUGUAGCGGUGAAAUGCUUAGAUACGACGAAGAACCCCGAUUGCGAAGGCAGCUGGCGGGAGCGUAACUGACGCUGAAGCUCGAAAGCGCGGGUAUCGAACAGGAUUAGAUACCCUGGUAGUCCGCGCGGUAAACGAUGGAUGCCCGCUGUGGGCGCGGCUAAGCGAAAGCAUUAAGCAUCCCACCUGGGAGUACGCCGGCAACGGUGCAACUCAAAUGAAUUGACGGA
This 780-nucleotide ribosomal RNA is filed under the name uncultured bacterium. Its description in RNAcentral is "bacterial SSU rRNA". It matches the Rfam family "Bacterial small subunit ribosomal RNA", at positions 28 to 917 of the family's 1533-position model. The record is from RNAcentral.